GAUUCAAAUUCAAGCGCCAACGGAACACAACACAUUCAGUGCUAGCUGCCUCAAGAGAUCCGACGAGACGGAGUUUCUUUCAAUAAAGUUAUGCUGCAGGUCACCACUGCACGUGAAUGCACAACUGAUGGAUCUCUCUGCAUGAACAAGGGUCAUUGGAAAACCACACAACUACAACGAAGAUGGGAAUUCUUGAAACAGUAAGCAGCAGCCACUUAAUAACAGCCCUGUCAACUGUGCUGAAUGUCUGCUGUCCUGGAAGAGGAGAUGGUGCUCGACAGCUUUAUGCUUUUGGAUUAUUGUAUCCAAAAGUUCCUCUUGAAGAUUUUUUUCAUUUGUGUCAACUGGGUUAAGUAAUCCAUUGUUAAGAUUUGAUGGUGUUUUUUAUGCUUUUUGGUGGGACACAAAAUGCUAGACUGGGACAGUGACAGAUUGUGGCCUAAACCCAGCCAUGGUCCAGAACCUCAACCAGAUCUAUUCAUUCUGCUGGGUUUCUCUGCAGGCAGGAGCGGAUCAGGCUGCAACACUUCUGCUCAUUUACAUCUAUUCUAAACUGUAAGACAGAUUUGAUAACUUGUCCUGCAUAAUCUGCACAGCUAAAUCUAGAUAAUUCUAUGUAGUCUGCAGUCCGGUUUCUUUCUUCUCUUUUGUUAGAGAAUUAAAGAAUUUGACGUUGUUGUGUUGAAGAUCUUAGUCAGACAAGCCAGACUUGGACCAAAUGUUGAAGUUGAUGAGAUUGUGGUCAUGGGUGUCAUGAAAUCCCACACACACAAGUGAAAACAGCAGCACACCUAGCAAAUAUACUAUGGCCAGCUCCACAUAUUUUCCCAUAGAUUUAAAUUUGGGUACAUUAGUGUUCCUGUGAGAAGAUGCUUUACAAUUAAAAUAAUGCUCAUAAUGUUAACAGUAAAAAAGUCAAAAUCUACAACCUGGUUAUAGCCUAUAACCUAGUUUUAUGUUAUAUUUAAUGUUAAUUGCACCAGUUGUUAAGUAGUUGUGCGAAUGAUAGUGUGAACAAUUAGUUGUUCAUCAUGCGACUUUCUCAUCACCACAUACAUUUGGUUGUGUUUUUGUAACUAUAACAAAGUUUUCAAUGUAGAAACUUAAUAAUCUGAGCGAUCUGAAUUAUAAUUAUUUAGUGCAUACCCAUAAAGGUUGUAUAUUCUGCACUCUGAAGGAGAUCACCACAGCCAAAGUCAAUAAGCUUGACUUCUAGUGUGUCCCUGUUGAUAAGGAGGUUCUCCUGUUUAAUAUCUCGGUGGAAAACACCUUUGCAGCUCAUGUAUGUGGCUGUUAUUGCCUGCCACAUUACAAUCCGUGCCAGUUCUUUAUCAAGUCUCUCUGUGGCUCUGGACGAAAACGAAGAGGUCCUCGCAGGGAUCAGACCGCUCCAGCACCAUGAUGUAAUAGUUCCCCUUAUCAUUCCAGUCCAGCAGCUGGAUAAUUUGAAAGACUCUGGUGUUUUCAUUGUCUAGAAUCAAUAGAGCGGCCUCCAUCAGGAGACAACAUCAGACCAUGGCUAAGAGAAAGACAGUUUUGAUGAUGGUUAAUGAAGUUUAUAUUGUCAAAUAGGGCUGGGCGAUAUGGCAAAAAAAAAAAGGAUUAUUUUUUUAUAUUGGUCUAUAUUAAUAGUUAUCACAAUAAAUGUCAAAUCUUUAUAUGUCAAUUUUAAAGGCUUUUCAGCAUAAAAAUCUCUGUGCGGCUGAUUUGGAUUUUGUGAAAUGUUUUAGCUGUCUGACAAUGCAAACAAAAAACAACAACCAAAGACAUUACCCUACAAGUAGUUGUAUAUUGUUCAACAUCAGAACAAAUAUAAAGCCGGUUUGUAACAAGUAAAAGGUAACAGAAUUGUCAGUUUUUGGAUGAACUGUCCUUUAAAUGGUGAGAAUGGUGAAUUUAAGGUGAAAUAUCCUUUAAUAAAUUUUAUUUAGGAAUGCUAACGAUUACUGAAUGAUUGAUUGAUUGUCAAUUACCCUUUAAUCAACAGACCUUAUCAAUGACUGAUUAAGCAUGGACAUUUAAAGGUUAAGUUAUGCUUUGUGCUGUGAGAUGCAUCCAGGCAUUACAUAAUCGUGUGUAGUUUACCUUAUCUUAUGGAGUCACCCUUUUGACAUUGCAUACUGCGGGAUGCAUAAAACCCUGAUAUGUGCAGAUCUUGUCUCACACUUCCGACUUCAUUCUUCUGAGGUAAUCUAAGAAUACUUUCAGUGCUGUGAAUAGUUUGUAAAGACUGUACUGGCUCAUUCAUACCGCUUGAUUAAAGAAAUUAAACUGAAACCAUGAAAACAGAUAAAUAAAUUAUUUUGACGCUGAAGCAUAAAAUGACCUUGUUUUGAAGAGCUUCAUUUCAGAUGUAAUUCGUUCUUGUUUAUUUUGUAGAUAAUUGACCUACAAAAGUAAAUUAAAAUACAAAUUAUACAAAAUGAUU
Danio rerio (zebrafish) is the source of this 2428-nucleotide non-coding RNA. The record is from Ensembl. NCBI's taxonomy places the organism in Eukaryota, Metazoa, Chordata, Actinopteri, Cypriniformes, Danionidae.